CAAUAGCGUAUAUUUAAGUUGUUGCAGUUAAAAAGCUCGUAGUUGGAUUUCGGAUGGGAUUUGCCGGUCCGUCGUUACGAUGUGCACUGGCCAGUCCUAUCUUGUUGUCGGGGACUAGCUCCUUGGAUUCACUUCCUGGGACUAGGAGCUGACGAGGUUACUUUGAGUAAAUUAGAGUGUUCAAAGCAAGCCUACGCUCUGAAUACAUUAGCAUGGAAUAACACGAUAGGACUCUGGCUUAUCUUGUUGGUCUGUGAGACCAGAGUAAUGAUUAAGAGGGACGGUCGGGGACAUUCGUAUUUCAUUGUCAGAGGUGAAAUUCUUGGAUUUAUGAAAGACGAACUUCUGCGAAAGCAUUUGUCAAGGAUGUUCUCAUUAA
RNAcentral lists this ribosomal RNA (379 nucleotides) under uncultured eukaryote. RNAcentral describes it as "partial 18S ribosomal RNA". It matches the Rfam family "Eukaryotic small subunit ribosomal RNA", at positions 592 to 976 of the family's 1831-position model. The record is from RNAcentral.